AUAAUUUCGAUGAUGAGCAAACUUGGUCAGGGUAUGAUCAUAGCUCCGUAUGAACGCAUUAUUUUUUUGACCUAACACAUGCUGAUCGAUUAAAAUUUAAUUUUAAUUGGUAAUGGGGUGAGUGUGCUCGGGACCUGACUAUAUGAGUUGAAAGAAGAUUCAUAGGUGGGGGCUUCGGUGUAGUUUAGAAGGACGGUAGAGGUGACGGCCUACCGAAUCGAUGUUCUAGAGCUAUUAAGGCCACAGUGGCAUAUUCAGAAAGGCCAUCUUAAAUUGCGAGCUGCAGUGAGGAAUCUUGGGCAAUCUGGGAAACCUGGACCCAGUCAAAAAAAGAGAGAAAUCUCCUAAGCUCUAUUUAGAAUGAAAAUAGAGUGUAGUACAGUAGUGUCCAAUUAUGUGCCAGAAGACUCGGUAAUGCAUAGUACUGCGCGCGUUAUUCACAUUUAAAGGGCAUCUGGUAAGGCGGUUGUUAUAAUAAA
RNAcentral lists this ribosomal RNA (479 nucleotides) under Monoblepharella sp. JEL15. RNAcentral's name for it is "small subunit ribosomal RNA". It matches the Rfam family "Bacterial small subunit ribosomal RNA", at positions 1 to 591 of the family's 1533-position model. Lineage: Eukaryota; Fungi; Monoblepharomycota; Monoblepharidomycetes; Monoblepharidales; Monoblepharidaceae. The record is from RNAcentral.